This 795-nucleotide ribosomal RNA is filed under the name uncultured Methanothermobacter sp. Its description in RNAcentral is "bacterial SSU rRNA". It matches the Rfam family "Archaeal small subunit ribosomal RNA", at positions 85 to 876 of the family's 1478-position model. The record is from RNAcentral. Lineage: Archaea; Methanobacteriati; Methanobacteriota; Methanobacteria; Methanobacteriales; Methanobacteriaceae.
ACGGCUCAGUAACACGUGGAUAACCUGCCCUUGGGACCGGGAUAACCCCGGGAAACUGGGGAUAAACCUGGAUAGGUGAUGCUGCCUGGAAUGGUUCUUCACCGAAACACCUUCGGGUGCCCAAGGAUGGGUCUGCGGCCUAUCAGGUUGUAGUGGGUGUAACGUACCUACUAGCCGACGACGGGUACGGGUUGUGAGAGCAAGAGCCCGGAGAUGGAUUCUGAGACAUGAAUCCAGGCCCUACGGGGCGCAGCAGGCGCGAAAACUUUACAAUGCGGGAAACCGCGAUAAGGGGACACUGAGUGCCAGCAUACAAUGUUGGCUGUCCGCAUGUAUAAAUAGCAUGUGUUAGCAAGGGCCGGGCAAGACCGGUGCCAGCCGCCGCGGUAACACCGGCAGCUCAAGUGGUAGCCGCUUUUAUUGGGCCUAAAGCGUCCGUAGCCGGUCUGAUAAGUCUCUGGUGAAAUCCCACAGCUUAACUGUGGGAAUUGCUGGAGAUACUAUCAUGACUCGAGGUCGGGAGAGGCUGGAGGUACUCCCAGGGUAGGGGUGAAAUCCUGUAAUCCUGGGAGGACCACCUGUGGCGAAGGCGUCCAGCUGGAACGAACCUGACGGUGAGGGACGAAAGCCAGGGGCGCGAACCGGAUUAGAUACCCGGGUAGUCCUGGCCGUAAACGAUGUGGACUUGGUGUUGGGAUGGCUUCGAGCUGCCCCAGUGCCGAAAGGGAAGCUGUUAAGUCCACCGCCUGGGAAGUACGGCCGCAAGGCUGAAACUUAAAGGAAUUGGCGGGGGAG